AAGAAAUUAUUAUAAUUUAGUAUAUAAAAUUGCAAAUUUUAAGGUUAUUUUCUUU
Molecule: transfer RNA, 55 nt
Filed under: Trichuris arvicolae
Lineage: Eukaryota; Metazoa; Nematoda; Enoplea; Trichinellida; Trichuridae
Description: tRNA-Cys
Source: RNAcentral